GGGGGCGAAAGGUUUCGACGGGGACACGGAGAUGGUUAGGAGCGUGCCGUGGGUCGUCAUGUCACCACGUAAAAAGGCGUGACAACUUUAUGAGUGCCAACGAUAACGUUGAACUCCGCGCAGCAGCGUAAGUUGUGAGCGCGCGUCGGCCGCAACAGUUGUCUGCGGGUUACGGGUCCGGCGCCAUUUAGCAGGCUGGAUUCAUGUUGGCGUCUCGGCGACAUGAGUUGAGAAACACUGAGACUAGCCAUUUGGGAAGCCUGUCCGUGGGCGUCCUGAGAGGUUAAAUCAAUCAUGGACUACGCACGUAGCGCCUGCCAUUGAUGGUUUCCGGACCCGGGUUCGAUUCCCGGCGCCUCCACCA
RNAcentral lists this transfer-messenger RNA (364 nucleotides) under Deltaproteobacteria bacterium RIFOXYA12_FULL_58_15. It matches the Rfam family "transfer-messenger RNA". From Rfam's summary of the family: Bacterial tmRNA, also known as 10Sa RNA or SsrA, is named for its dual tRNA and mRNA-like properties. Its role is to liberate the mRNA from a stalled ribosome. To accomplish this part of the tmRNA is used as a reading frame that ends in a translation stop signal. Lineage: Bacteria; Deltaproteobacteria. The record is from RNAcentral.